Molecule: RNA transcript, 3532 nt
Organism: Pieris napi
Lineage: Eukaryota; Metazoa; Arthropoda; Insecta; Lepidoptera; Pieridae
Gene: Atf6
Exons: 14
Source: RefSeq, a predicted model, not a curated record
AAAAAUGCCAUCUGUGGAUAAAUGGAAAAUGCAAUUUGUAAAUAAUACAUGUGGACUAUUGUUUUGUAUUGAAAACCUCCUUUUCUUGAUAAUAUUAAUAUUCAUACUGGAAAAUAUAAGCACUUCGGGUCUAAGACACAACUAAAAAUUUCAAUGGAUACUGAUAUUCUAAUAAGUGAUAAAGACAAUCUUUACGACUUUGCCUUGGAUGACUUGAACAAUGACUGUCAUUGGUCUUCAUUAUUAAAUUCAGCAGAUGCAUCACCAAGUGAGAUACUUGCUGAUGCAGCACCCAGCCUUGUUUCCCCAAUUUCACCUAUUGCCAGCUUAAAAUCUUCUCCAAAUGAAAGCAGUAACUCAGAUUCUGGUAGUGAAGAUGAUACAAAAAAUUCCAGUUCUACAUCAGUUAGGGAUUCAUCUCAAUCUCCUAAUGAAUGGUUGUCAAAUGAUUCUGAAGCUGUAUACCAGCUUAAACCAGAGGAUGUUGAAAAGUUUUUACAAAAAUCAGAUAAUAUUGAUGUGGAAUGUACGAACAAUGCACCAAUUAUCAAGAAUGUCGAGCAAAAGGUACCAGUAAUGUCAAUAGAAAAUGGUGUGAUAAAGGUGAAUGGAAUUGGUAGUUAUGUUAAUCCAAAAACUUUAUGCUCACUUUCUACUAAAGUUAAAGGUACAAAUCAUGGCUCAUAUUUCAAUGUAAUAAAUGAGCAUUUUAAUAACGGAAGGAAAGAAGAAAGGGAACAGGCAAUAUCUUACCAAAAAGCAGUAUCCAUAAAAAGCCAAUGUAAUCCAAUAGUAAUUUUACCUAAUUGUACAUCACAAGUCACAAAAAGCAGAGUUGCUGUAUUACCACAAAAAUUACACCAUGAGGGCUCAAAUGGUUAUCAGAUAAAGUCUCCUCCUAGAAGUCAUAUUAUGUUAAGUCCAAACUCUGUUCAAGUGGAAUCAGCUUCAGAAUGCAAUUCAACAAGCCCUAUCUUAGAAGUUCCUCAGUUAAGUGAAGCGGAUAUUAAAGCUAUGAAGAAACAGCAGCGAAUGAUAAAAAAUCGAGAGUCAGCCUGCCAAUCGCGCCAGAAAAAGAAAGAAUAUGUUACAGCAUUAGAACAACAAUUGUUAGAGGCACAUCAGGAAAUAGGAAAGUUACGACUAGAAAACAAAAUACUUAGAAAUCAACUGGAAUCGAAUGGCAGGAUUCGAAAGAUACCAAGGCUAGACUCGUCAUUGUUAAUACCGAAAAAGAACAUUGCUGUUAUUUUCGCUAUGGUGUUCAUGGUCUCCUUAAACUUUAAUAUUUUAGGAUGGAAUUCCAAGCCAUUUGUUGGACCAACACAUUCUCAUGUUGGUAAUCGGCAUUUAUUAUGGGCGGAAGAUAAUAAGGAUGUAUCUUUAGAUUACGAACACUUAAACCGCAGUACUGAUGGUAUUGACUGUCAGAAUAGUACAAUGUUUGAGAAUAUUAAUCAGACUGAGAGCAUACGAAUCGUAGGAGACUUAAAACGUUGGAUCCGCGGUGGGAAGACCUUAAAUUGGACCUCGGCGCCCAAAAAGCGUAGAUAUGUCAACGAAGAACAAAUUAAUGGAGGUCUGUUAGGAGCGUACAACCUAUUCAAUAAAGUGAAUUUGGAUGACUUUGUCGAAUUUCCCACUAAAAACGGCAAAAAUAUUCGCGACAAGACGCGCGUACGGCGUUUGCGAAGAUCAACAGAGAAAGACAUCGAAUUCGACGGAUUGUAUUAUGAAAGACUGUAUAAUAGACAUAUAAGGAAGAAUAAUGAAUUUAACGACUUUGGUGAAUGGAGUGAAUUGCUUCAAGCCUUGCAGAGACGUGAUGAUACGUUUUACGUAGUUGGUGUUGGUAAAGGAGAACACUUGUUGUUGCCAGCUGUGUCUCAUAACGUCACUAGGCCACCGAAAAUGGCGCUUAUAUUGCCAGCACGGGGUGCUAAUGAUUCCGUAUUAAGCGAUCACGUAACAUUGAUGCAAAUUGACUGCUCAGUUGUCAACACAACUCUCGUCAAACUGAAGUCUGAAUCGUUACCGAAGAGCCUACGGAAAACAAAAAAUAAUGCAACAAAUACAUUCUAUGAAAAAGCUAAGGCGAAUAUACCAAUACCUGAAACUGUACAAAAGUUCAAUAAUUCUAGUCACAUAGAGAAAGGUUUAAAGGAUUCCUUUGCACAGUUACUAAGUAAACCAACGGGUAAUAAUUCGGAAUCUAUAGUUGAUCGGCCACAGAUUCCUGUAAAUAGUACAUUGUAAGAUAUUUUCUAUAUUAUAUGUAUAGUAAUGGGCCCUUUUGGUAAGAUACAGACUCAAAGAAGUAUGGCUAUCGUAUGUCGAAAAGUAAUUUCAUAUACGAAAGCCAUACUUUUUCUUACACAGCAAAUUUCCGUUUUCUAAUAUUUCUAUUUUAAUAGACAGCCCACAGACAAAGUCGUCGUAAUAUUUAUAUAUUUCUUUAACAUGGUCAUAAUACAAAUUUCUUCUUUUUUUAAUAUGUACGUAAAUCGAAUAAAAAAAUUAGCGGUUAUCGCUGCUCGGUGUCGAUAGUAUGCAAAAGCUUUAGUAUAACGUUACUAGGGUAAUGACACGUCUUUUGAGUCAGUAGUUCUCUCACUCGUGAUUCAAAACCUUAUUUUCUUUAUAUUAAGGUGCAUUUUACAAUGCACAAAUAUCUUUUAUAAGAAUUUAAACAAGGUGUCCUCACAUAGUAAUGAAUUGCGACUUGUUAUUUACCUUAUAAAUAAAAUAACAUCACACAAUUUCGCAAUUUCUUGAAUAAAGUAUUUGAAAUGUGUACUAGCAAUAUUUAGGAGUAAACGUCUGCUGUUACUACGGCAAGAUCUCAAAAAAUAUUUUACACUUUUGUAAUUUUUAAUGAAGGUGAGAUGUUAGAAUAUUCGUAAUUACAAGAAUUAUGUAUCUUUCUAUAUAUUAUAACAAUUGGUUGUUUUAAUUUUAAAUAUUAUUUUAGAUUCAUUUAUUGAGUAAUAUUAUAAUUCCUGUUAUGGCUGUUCUUCUACUUUUAAGUUUAAUGUGUUAAUAAUUAGAGAUUUAAAUCGUAAGAUGCGCAAAUUUGAUUAUUUAUCAUAUAGUACCUACUUAUAGGACGCAAUUAGGUAUACAUAUUUUCGUUAUCGCGUCUUAUAAGUGCGUAAUUGUUUUCUCUCUGUAAUACAAUCGCACGUGGUACAUACAUAGAAUUUACAAAGAAAUUAUCUGAGAAACUGUAAAUCCAUAAAAUAUUUUUCUUGUAUUUUUUGAUCAAGUUCUUUCUGUAAACAUAUUUUAUAGAUUUGCGUACCUAUAUAAGAGAACCUAAGCAGAAAAAAACGAGCAAUUCUUCACUUCUUAUAUGCGAUAAAAACUUUAUCUUAGUAAUUAGUUAUGAGUCACUUAUCCUAGAAUCCAAAACUAACUACUUAAAAAGUUGCAUUUUGCUGAUUAGACUUAACCUCUAAAUAUAUUAUAGCAAUGUUACUUUUGACCAUUAUGUAGCUUUCCUGAAUAAACAAAUUUUGUCAGUUGUGUUAAC